RNAcentral lists this long non-coding RNA (1303 nucleotides) under Homo sapiens (human). RNAcentral's name for it is "long intergenic non-protein coding RNA 293". The record is from RNAcentral. Lineage: Eukaryota; Metazoa; Chordata; Mammalia; Primates; Hominidae.
AUAUAUCUAGGCAAAUUGCCUAGAAGUGAAUCCCCUCUCCUGCUUAAGUCCUUCCCACAGAGAGCGGUUUGAUAUGUCACUGAAACCAGCAUCCAGGUGGUAUUGCUCCAUAUGCCUGAGACCCUAACAAAAGCCUAAUUACAACUCAUAUGCCUGGAGCCAGGACAUGUGCAGGAUGGUGAUGUAACUUUCCUCUCUGGAAUGGGUCCUGCACAAAGGAAUGAUAGUAACAUAUUGCAAAGCCAGACACACAGCCAUGAUGGUCCAAGUUAUAUUGGGAUUCAGCCAAUAGAAGAUAUUUUGCCUGUCAUCCCUAAGCUUAGGACAAUAGGGUCCUGCCCACAAGAAAGAUUGUGACAUCUCACUGGACAAGCACCCACCCAGACUCUGCCAAGAGAGGGGAUUAUUACAUAUUGCAGAGCCCAGCACCUAGGUGGAGUGACUCUCAUCUUUUUCUUCUACCCCGUAUAUAGCCAGCUUGGUGACCUACUAUUUGAGUCUAUACCCAGGCCCAGACCACAGAUGAAAUUGUGCAAUAUGUGGAACAAACACCUAAACAAUAUAUAACACCUUCCUUGGCUCUGUCUACAAAGGGCACUUUUAUAUAUCACUGGGACCAUCAACCAGGUGAUAUAACCCUCUUCUCUGGAAUGGGCCCCACACAAAGGAAGGAUAGUGACAUAUUGCAAGCCCAGGCACACAGGCCCAGAGCACAGUUGAAAUUGUGACAUAUGUACACCAAGCAACCAAGCAAUGUAUAACACCUCAUUUGGCAAUGGAAUCGAGGGCACUUUUACAUAUCACUGAGACCAGCGCCCAGCUGAUGUGAAAUAUUGGCCUGAACCCUGCCUACAAAAGCAUUGUGGCUUUUAUCUAGCUCCAUUACAUAAGUGAUGUGACUUCCUUCUACUGCCUUGGCCCUGCACUUAUGGUGAAUCGUGACACAAAAUUGGGUAGAGCAACCAGCCUGGGCCCUGACCAGCACAGAGAUUGAGGCAUAUUGCUGAACCCAGGACCAAGAUGAAGUCACUCUCCUGCCUUGAUCCUGCACACAGGGACCCUUGUGACAUAUAUACAGGCCAAUUGCCUAGGUGAUGUUGUGCAAUAUACCUGAGACCAGAUCAAUGGCCUAAUAAUGACUCUUUUACCUAGAGCCAGGACAUGUGCAGGAUGGUAACUCUCAUCCCUGAACCUUUCCACAGGUGUUAUUGUCACAUAUACCUUUUCCAGCUCCAAAGUGAUUUAAUAAUCCAGCCUAGUUAUAGCCCACAGAUAAUAUUUGGACAUAUACCUGAGUCAAGAA